Molecule: transfer-messenger RNA, 326 nt
Filed under: Candidatus Formimonas warabiya
Lineage: Bacteria; Bacillati; Bacillota; Clostridia; Eubacteriales; Peptococcaceae
Description: Peptococcaceae bacterium DCMF transfer-messenger RNA
Rfam family: transfer-messenger RNA
About the family: Bacterial tmRNA, also known as 10Sa RNA or SsrA, is named for its dual tRNA and mRNA-like properties. Its role is to liberate the mRNA from a stalled ribosome. To accomplish this part of the tmRNA is used as a reading frame that ends in a translation stop signal.
Source: RNAcentral
ACUGGAUUUCGACGGGGGAUGAAUUGGCGAGAGUAGCGAGCCGGGGUUCCAUCAGCCCGUUAAACGGUGGAAAUUAAUUUAAACGCUAACGAUAAUUACGCUUUAGCUGCUUAAUGCAGCUAACAUCCUACCCUCUGCUCCUGCGGUGAGGAAUAGGGUGUCAUUUUAGCAGGAUACUCUGAUCCCAAUUCUCGGAGGGAUCAGGGGAAAUUCAUCGAGAUAGCGACCGCGCAGGCUGUUUGUGGCCGGCAAGGGAGCGAAAUCUAAAGCACAAACUGCGCUCGGAGAAGCUUUUGUGGGUUCUCUUUCGGACAGGGGUUCGAUCA